GAAAAGACUUAAGAAACUAGCUGAGACC
Molecule: non-coding RNA, 28 nt
Filed under: Cricetulus griseus (Chinese hamster)
Lineage: Eukaryota; Metazoa; Chordata; Mammalia; Rodentia; Cricetidae
Source: RNAcentral